Molecule: long non-coding RNA, 1378 nt
Organism: Gallus gallus (chicken)
Lineage: Eukaryota; Metazoa; Chordata; Aves; Galliformes; Phasianidae
Exons: 2
Source: RefSeq, a predicted model, not a curated record
CUUUCUAACGAGAACAAGACUUGCCUGAUGGAUGGCUGCAGAGAAAUUGGGGAAUUCAUGACCCGGAUGGCCAGUUUCAUAUGGAAUGAGCUAUUACAGGGAGCUGCAUUUAAGUCUCCAAAGCAGCCUUCAGAGCUUCAUUCUCAUCCAGCUGGAUCACAAGCCUAUGAGGAAACAAAAGGAAACUUUCAUGUGAGCUACAAAAAAAUUAAAACAGUGCUUCAGCUCCAGGGAAGAAAACACUGAAACACAUGCUCUCUGGUAGUUUUGUAACAGGCAUGAGAAAGAGCAGACCUACAAACACUUGCUCCUUUUCUCUUAGAGACAGAAAAAUAUAUUAGAAGACAAAGAUACUUUUCAGAUGUUUUGUUAAAGAUUAUAAUAUGUUUUUUGUUUGUUUGUUUUUGUGGUUUUUUUUUUCCCCACCAAUAAGCUUGCAAUCAAUAGCUAAGGAAAGAAAAAAAUAAAGGCAUCUUUCUUGAAGUGCUUCGUGUUGCUUAACAUUUCUGGGUAUCUGUGUCAUUUUCAGGCAGUUGGUGUAAGAAUGAUACAGGAAAACUCAAUCCAGAGGAUCUGUGAUUUGUACAGUUUGCUGGUUUUCCUUCUGAGGAGCUGGUCCAGGUAAUAUCACUGCUAGGAGGACAGCAAUGAAUCUGAGCUAUUACUGAAACAGAAAGUGGCAGUAAUACAGCAUAGAGGAAGGGAAACCAUACCUUGUGCUGAGCUCCUCUAUCUGCGAUUCUAGAGGCAGCUUGGACAGCUGGCCUGCAGAGAGCUCCUUCCUAUCACCCAUGUUCAAGGACAGCCUUGACUGACCUGCAGACUGGCCUGGAAAUUUCAUCACAAAAUGGAGUGUUAGUAAAACAAGCAACACAAGCAACCUUUUUCACCUUGUGAGACUUCAACCAAAUCUCAGGAAACAGUGAAUGAACACAGUUCUAUGUAUAUCCAAGAAGACAGUGUAAACAUAUAGGACAGGGUUUUAUUUUAAUCUCCUUCCAGCAAAAUUAAAGCAUGAUGAAUAUGCAUUUCGGGGCUAAAUGUGUGUUAAGUAAUAUGAGUUUUUACGUAUCUAGACAAGAAAAAUAAUCCAAAAUAUUCAAGUGCCCAAAACAGUAGAAGACAGUAUAGAAGCAGACAAAAAGUGUGAUUUCAAUGUCUGUCUUGUCACUGUAUUUCAUUUAAGCUAAUGACAGCUGUUGCUUACUGAAUGCCAGUGAUGACAUUUGUGUGUGGCACUCACUGAGAUGGCUUUUUGAAAGUAAUUUUUGAUCCUCAGCAUAAACACGAUCUAGAUUAAACUCAGAAAAGUAGCUAAACGUAUUUCAAAUUAAGGUUGUAAACCAAGAAUGCUUUCCAAAAUAAAGUCCUCUCAGAA